RNAcentral lists this ribosomal RNA (467 nucleotides) under uncultured bacterium. RNAcentral's name for it is "partial 16S ribosomal RNA". It matches the Rfam family "Bacterial small subunit ribosomal RNA", at positions 28 to 507 of the family's 1533-position model. The record is from RNAcentral.
GACGAACGCUGGCGGCGUGCUUAACACAUGCAAGUCGAACGGAAAGGCUCCAUCUUUCUGGAGUACUCGAGUGGCGAACGGGUGAGUAACACGUGGGUAAUCUGCCCUUCACUCUGGGAUAAGCCUGGGAAACUGGUUCUAAUACUUGAUAUGACCUUUCUCCUUAUGGUGUUUUGUGGAAAGUUUUUCGGUUUAGGAUGGGCCCGAGGCCUUUCAUCUUGUUGGUGGGGUGAUGGACUACCAAGGCGACGACGGGUAGCCGGCCUGAGAGGGUGAUCGGCGACAUUGGGACUGAGAUACGGCCCAGACUCCUACGGGAGGCAGCAGUGGGGAAUAUUGCAAAAUGGGCGGAAGCCUGAUGCAGAGACGCCGCGUGAGGGAUGACGGCCUUCGGGUUGUAAACCUCUUUAAGCAGGGACGAAGAGUAAGUGACGGUACCUGCAGAAGAAGCACCGGCUAACUAUGUG